CAGGAUUCUGGUUUCCGCCCUCCUUCAAAGCGUGGAAAUUCAUCUGGAGUGGGAAGUAAACCCUUCCGGCCUCCUGCGCAUAUGGAAGAAUGUUCCACUCACCUCUCACAGCACCACGACCUCGCCCCCGAACACCAUGGUCCCUUCCUCUUGAGUUUUCAUCUGGAGAGUCAAAAGCAUCAUCUGGCCCAAAAUCUUCAGGUCCAGGAAAGCCAUCUCUCCCCCUGGGUCCCCGGCCCUCAUGUCUUGAGGGUCCUCCUCUUCUGAAGCUACAAGAAAGAACAUGGUACAAAUGUGGGUUUUAGACAGAAUUUAGAUUGAGAAACUUCAGCCAGCUUCAGUUUAAUCAUCAACUCAUUUCUGAACUGUUUUACUUAAUACUGUAGCACAUACAGUUACUAGAAUAGGAUUUGUAGGUGGAAAAGUGCUCGUUUUCUGCCUUUGAGCACUUUGUCUAUUCAUUUUUGUAGUUUCCCCUUAUUUCCUUCUGCUGAUUGUGUUUGUUUCUCAAACAAGAAAAAUACUUUCAAAUAUACUGUAUUCAUUUAAUAAGGGGAGGGGGGGAGAAAUCUGUGAGUGAUGACAAACAGAAGGUAAAGUAUAAGUGAAUUUCCCUUAAUGUGGUGGUCUUCUUUCCCCUUCCAUUUUUUUUCCCUUCCAUUGUAGUGAUAAAAACAAACUGGAAGAAUUCAAGCAAUGAGAGUCAUGACUAUAACAGAACACAUCAGCAUCUCAUUCCAUUGGUUUUUGCUAACCUAAAACAUUCUCUUUUCUGUUCCAUUCUUCUCAGUUUACAGUUUUAGCAGAUGAAUCUAGAGAGCCUUUGGCUCUGUAGGGAUGAGGGUGACUGUUGACCAGCAUGCACAGUGGCAUUCUACAACCUGAAGAGCAGUUUAUUCAGCUGCGAUAAUGAAGGAUUUUGCUUUGCAAAAGGUCUGUCUCCACCUCCCAGAGAACAACCACAACACAGAGAGGAGGCUGCUGUGCCUGUAGAGGUACAACAGUGGAUGGAGGGAGUGCUGUGUAUGGACAAUGAACCAUUUUACAUUAACCUGGAUGAUCUGGGAGAACAAACUGAGCAGUUUUAGGUACAAAUGGUUCAGAUGAUCACAUUGCAAUAUUGUUUAGCCUUGAAACAGCACAGUCUCCUUGAUGUUCUUUAGAGGGCCUCCCAUUUUAAUACUGAUAUGGUAUGAUUCUGCUUAGCGUGUACAUCACCAAGAUUUGCAACACAAAGUCUUAUGGCUAGCAGGAAUAGGGCCUUUCCUUUUUGUUUCCAGGCAACAUUAUGGACAUGGUUUAGUUUUGAAAUCUAUCACACCUAUGCCUGACAUAGCCACAGCUCCUAAUAUUGUGUUAUGUAUAUUCUAUUUCAUAUCAGUCAUGUGUAAACCCCUGCCUUGCAUAGGGCUCAGUUUCUGUUUAGACUGCUCUUGGAUCUUCUUCCUUGAGGCCUAGGACCUUAACGUACAGAACUACAGACUGUGCAGAUUAGCAGGCAGGAAGAGGCACGUCUCUACAGUAGAAGCAUCAUGUUAAUGUGCAUAGGUACAGUAAGAACAGGACAGGGAUGAAAAGGACGGGAAAUUAGAGAGAAACACACAUACACACACUUCCUUCAUGCUUCAUCAAACCAGUUACAGUCUAAGUUCCUAACCAAGUCAGCUAAAUGAGGAGUUGGGGUUCUUGAGUUCACCUCAGCAUCUGCAGUAAAUGGCACUUAAUUUGCCUUCAUUCAAAGGAGUUCAUUAAGUUUGCAAGCACAAUAAGCCUUUUAGAGCCCUGUGCUGAUUCCUUUUAAACCAGACUGUACAAACACUUGCACUCUGACAAACAGACUCCUCUUAGUUAAUAAGUUAGACUUACAGGUCACAAGGUCCUUAGAAUCUUCCUGAAACCUUUCUAAAACUCAGGAUCAUCAUAAAAUACCUUCCAGUCCCACAGCAUUUCCAAGGUAAGAUUUGAAAAUCUCUACUGAGCUUCUAAAAGCGUUGUCUGCUGCAUCUUAGAGUUCUGUACUGCAGGGCAUUCAGCUUGGAUUCUCUCUACUUUUACUUUUUAAAAAUGGCUUUGUUACCUUUUCUUAGUUAUUGUUCAUUUCUUUUCAUACUCUUCACACAAAAGGAAGGUACAGCUUUACAGAGCUAGGAAGAAAAUAGCUAAAAGAAGAGCUGUGUAGAUGCAAAGUAAAAGGAAUGUAAGAAAACGAUUAAAAAGGCAACUAAAACACACAAAGUUCACAUUAUGUGGAGACCACAAGAUAUUUGUACAUGUUCUUAUACAUACAGAGUUGGUGGGCAGUGAGAGGCUUAGACCUUGGAGGCCAAAUUUAACCCAGUUAAACUAGCAUGAAUGUGAAGCCAUUUCAAUGACAGUUAAUCUUGCUGAGUUAGCAUAAUUCCUCCAUAUUUACAUUUGUAACUAGACACAAAUUCAUCCCUUAAUUUAUUUGGAAACUGAGCAAUGAUGUGGACAUUGCUGUAAGUUGGGUAUCUCCGAGUUCUUUGCUUGGCAUUAAGAAAUAAAGUUAGAAAGAGAAAUAAAAUCUCUACAAGCAAACCCAUGAGAAAAUAGUCUCAACAGUCCAGCAGAUGCUGUAGCUCUGUCCCUUAUAUUUGAUAGCAGGAUCACUGUUCUACUCCUUACAAGUAUCUUACAUCUCAUUCUACAGUCCCUACAGUCAUGCUGUAGUUUGUGACUGGAGACAAAGUCUCAAAAUCCACUUCUAGUGUUCAAAAGUUUGUCACUUUAACCUCCAAGUUUCCUCUCAAUUUUCAUCAAAACGGUCUCAAAUCUUCAUCCUGUGUCACUGGAUCUUCUCUAAAAAUUUCCUGCCUUCUCUUUACUUACUGUUUAAAGACACGGAAGCUGCUGUGUACAAUGACCAUUUUUUUCUUCUAUUACUGAAUGAUUUUUAUGGACUCUAUACUCAGGUAUAUUAGAGUUUUCAUUUCCUUAUUGGUUUCCAGUUUAUAAAUCUGAAACAGAUAGACUCCUUAAUGAAGAGGAAACCAG
Long non-coding RNA from Pezoporus occidentalis (night parrot), 3015 nucleotides. RefSeq lists it as uncharacterized. The transcript is spliced from 3 exons. NCBI's taxonomy places the organism in Eukaryota, Metazoa, Chordata, Aves, Psittaciformes, Psittacidae. The record is from RefSeq and is a predicted model, not a curated record.